Molecule: ribosomal RNA, 146 nt
Filed under: uncultured bacterium
Lineage: Bacteria
Description: partial 16S ribosomal RNA
Rfam family: Bacterial small subunit ribosomal RNA
Source: RNAcentral
ACUCCUACGGGAGGCAGCAGUGGGGGAUAUUGCACAAUGGAGGGAACUCUGAUGCAGCAACGCCGCNUGAGGGAAGACGGUNUUCGGAUUGUAAACCUCUGUCCUCGGNGAUGAUAAUGACGUANCCAGGANAAGCUACGCUANCC